RNAcentral lists this transfer RNA (71 nucleotides) under bacterium. RNAcentral describes it as "tRNA-Gly". It matches the Rfam family "tRNA". From Rfam's summary of the family: Transfer RNA (tRNA) molecules are approximately 80 nucleotides in length. Their secondary structure includes four short double-helical elements and three loops (D, anti-codon, and T loops). Further hydrogen bonds mediate the characteristic L-shaped molecular structure. tRNAs have two regions of fundamental functional importance: the anti-codon, which is responsible for specific mRNA codon recognition, and the 3' end, to which the tRNAs corresponding amino acid is attached (by aminoacyl-tRNA synthetases). tRNAs cope with the degeneracy of the genetic code in two manners: having more than one tRNA (with a specific anti-codon) for a particular amino acid; and 'wobble' base-pairing, i.e. permitting non-standard base-pairing at the 3rd anti-codon position. The record is from RNAcentral.
GCGGCCAUGGUUUAACGGCAGAACGCUACCUUGCCAAGGUAGAGACCGGGGUUCAAUUCCCCGUGGCCGCA